Molecule: long non-coding RNA, 151 nt
Organism: Microtus oregoni (creeping vole)
Lineage: Eukaryota; Metazoa; Chordata; Mammalia; Rodentia; Cricetidae
Exons: 3
Source: RefSeq, a predicted model, not a curated record
AGGCUCCUUCUUACUUAUUUCCGGGCCUGCAGGCUGGGUGUGAAGGAAUGCAAGAUGAACCAAAUGCAGCCACACUGAAUGCACUGCAAGUUUGCAUGCAGAACCUUCAUCUGGCGAUGGAUGGAGAUAGAGACAGAGACCUACACUGGAG